AGCAGCCGCGGUAAUUCCAGCUCCAAUAGCGUAUAUUGAAGUUGUUGCAGUUAAAAAGCUCGUAGUUGAAUUUCGGGGUCCUACCGUUGGUCGGGCUAACCAGUCUGUACUAGCGUGUAGAAUUCCUACCUUCUGGGGAACCAUCAUGUUAUUAAUUUAGCGUGGUGGGAAACCAGGACCUUUACCUUGAAAAAAUUAGAGUGUUCAAAGCAGGCUUACGUCUGAAUACAUUAGCAUGGAAUAAUAAAAUAGGACGGUGGUCCUGUUUUGUUGGUUUCUGAAUCACCGUAAUGAUUAAUAGGGAUAGUUGGGGGCAUUAGUAUUCAAUUGUCAGAGGUGAAAUUCUUGGAUUUAUUGAAGACUAACUUCUGCGAAAGCAUUUGCCAAGGAUGUUUUCAUUAAUCAAGAACGAAAGUUAGGGGAUCGAAGACGAUCAGAUACCGUCGUAGUCUUAACCAUAAACUAUGCCGACUAGGGAUCGGACGAUGUUAAAUUUUUAUUGACUCGUUUCGGCGCCUUA
RNAcentral lists this ribosomal RNA (520 nucleotides) under uncultured Scutellospora. RNAcentral's name for it is "SSU rRNA". It matches the Rfam family "Eukaryotic small subunit ribosomal RNA", at positions 569 to 1090 of the family's 1831-position model. Lineage: Eukaryota; Fungi; Glomeromycota; Glomeromycetes; Diversisporales; Gigasporaceae. The record is from RNAcentral.